Molecule: ribosomal RNA, 296 nt
Filed under: uncultured Anaerolineaceae bacterium
Lineage: Bacteria; Bacillati; Chloroflexota; Anaerolineae; Anaerolineales; Anaerolineaceae
Description: partial 16S ribosomal RNA
Rfam family: Bacterial small subunit ribosomal RNA
Source: RNAcentral
AUGUCGGUUAAGUCCGGUAACGAGCGCAACCCUCGCCGUCAGUUACAAGUGUCUGGCGGGACUGCCCGUUGAACGCGGGAGGAAGGUGGGGAUGACGUCAAGUCAGCAUGGCCUUAAUGUCCAGGGCUACACACACGCUACAAUGGCCGGCACAGAGGGUCGCCAACCCGCGAGGGGGAGCCAAUCCAAGAAAGCCGGUCUCAGUUCGGAUUGCAGGCUGCAACCCGCCUGCAUGAAGUCGGAGUUGCUAGUAAACGCGCAUCAGCCAUGGCGCGUUGAAUACGUUCCCGGGCCUU